RNAcentral lists this ribosomal RNA (503 nucleotides) under Nakaseomyces glabratus. RNAcentral's name for it is "LSU rRNA". It matches the Rfam family "Eukaryotic large subunit ribosomal RNA", at positions 63 to 563 of the family's 3401-position model. Lineage: Eukaryota; Fungi; Ascomycota; Saccharomycetes; Saccharomycetales; Saccharomycetaceae. The record is from RNAcentral.
AACCAACUGGGAUUGCCUUAGUAACGGCGAGUGAAGCGGCAAAAGCUCAAAUUUGAAAUCUGGUACCUUUGGUGCCCGAGUUGUAAUUUGGAGAGUACCACUUUGGGACUGUACUUUGCCUAUGUUCCUUGGAACAGGACGUCAUGGAGGGUGAGAAUCCCGUGUGGCGAGGGUGUCAGUUCUUUGUAAAGGGUGCUCGAAGAGUCGAGUUGUUUGGGAAUGCAGCUCUAAGUGGGUGGUAAAUUCCAUCUAAAGCUAAAUACAGGCGAGAGACCGAUAGCGAACAAGUACAGUGAUGGAAAGAUGAAAAGAACUUUGAAAAGAGAGUGAAAAAGUACGUGAAAUUGUUGAAAGGGAAGGGCAUUUGAUCAGACAUGGUGUUUUGCGCCCCUUGCCUCUCGUGGGCUUGGGACUCUCGCAGCUCACUGGGCCAGCAUCGGUUUUGGCGGCCGGAAAAAACCUAGGGAAUGUGGCUCUGCGCCUCGGUGUAGAGUGUUAUAGCC